GACGGACGCUGGCGGCGCGCCUAACACAUGCAAGUCGAACGAGAGAGAGGGAGCUUGCUUCCUCGAUCGAGUGGCGAACGGGUGAGUAACGCGUGAGGAACCUGCCUCAAAGAGGGGGACAACAGUUGGAAACGACUGCUAAUACCGCAUAAGCCCACGGCUCGGCAUCGAGCAGAGGGAAAAGGAGCAAUCCGCUUUGAGAUGGCCUCGCGUCCGAUUAGCUAGUUGGUGAGGUAACGGCCCACCAAGGCGACGAUCGGUAGCCGGACUGAGAGGUUGAACGGCCACAUUGGGACUGAGACACGGCCCAGACUCCUACGGGAGGCAGCAGUGGGGAAUAUUGCACAAUGGGGGAAACCCUGAUGCAGCGACGCCGCGUGGAGGAAGAAGGUCUUCGGAUUGUAAACUCCUGU
This 413-nucleotide ribosomal RNA is filed under the name uncultured bacterium. RNAcentral's name for it is "bacterial SSU rRNA". It matches the Rfam family "Bacterial small subunit ribosomal RNA", at positions 28 to 436 of the family's 1533-position model. The record is from RNAcentral.